AAUAUUGCACAAUCGGGGGAAACCCUGAUGCAGCCAUGCCGCGUGUGUGAAGAAGGCCUUCGGGUUGUAAAGCACUUUCAGUAGGGAGGAAGGUAGUGUAGUUAACACCUGCAUUAUUUGACGUUACCUACAGAAGAAGCACCGGCUAACUCCGUGCCAGCAGCCGCGGUAAUACGGAGGGUGCGAGCGUUAAUCGGAAUUACUGGGCGUAAAGCGCAUGCAGGCGGCCUGUUAAGUCAGAUGUGAAAGCCCGGGGCUUAACCUCGGAAUUGCAUUUGAAACUGGCAGGCUAGAGUCUUGUAGAGGGGGGUAGGAAUUUCAGGUGUAGCGGUGAAAUGCGUAGAGAUCUGAAGGAAUACCAGUGGCGAAGGCGGCCCCCUGGACAAAGACUGACGCUCAGAUGCGAAAGCGUGGGGAGCAAACAGGAUUAGAUACCCUGGUAG
Molecule: ribosomal RNA, 443 nt
Filed under: uncultured bacterium
Lineage: Bacteria
Description: bacterial SSU rRNA
Rfam family: Bacterial small subunit ribosomal RNA
Source: RNAcentral